Long non-coding RNA from Macaca fascicularis (crab-eating macaque), 1898 nucleotides. Lineage: Eukaryota; Metazoa; Chordata; Mammalia; Primates; Cercopithecidae. The record is from Ensembl.
UUUUUUUUUUUUUUUUUUUUUUUUUAAAUCUUGCAGGGCAUCUAAAGCAGGUGGUUUCAGUGUUUAAAGGAUUUUAACUGGUUUCAGAUCUGAUGUCAGCCGGAAUGUUGCUCGGAUCAUUCUCUGAAUGUUAGCAUUCCAACAUCACUGUCAGUUAUUAGUCCUGGUUUAGAAAAAAAAAAUGUGUUGGGUCUGCUUUUUAUAAUCUCAGUAGUUUUAUUUGUGUUCAUUUCCCCCCUUUAGAGAAUUACUCUUUUAAUUACUUGUCUUAUUGCCCUAAGCAACUGCCAGCUAGGCAGCAAAGGCGCAUUUUGGAGCCCCGUCUUCAUUGGGUGGUCUAACUGGGCAAAGAACAGUCAGGAAUCUGGCAGCCCCCAGAGCCAGAAGAGGUUCACGGUGACUCUGACUCUUCGACUUUCUCAGUAAAGUUUCAGGGCAGAGAUCAUACCUGGAGGGAUUCCACAGGUGGCGAUGAUGGAUACCUUUUGUUUACCUCCUGAAUAGAGGCCGUUUUCUCAGAAUUUCUUCUAGAAGGUUUUUAGGUACCAUUGGAAGUAAAUCUCCUAUUUGAUUUGGUUCUAAUUAGAACUAGCUUUUUCCAAUUGUGUGCACAGAUAAGCUAGAGGGGGAAAAGGAUCUUUAAAAAUAUAUAUAACAGAUAGGUUCUGCCCCCACUCUCCUUGUUGCAAUUUAAUUGGCCUUUUUGCUGCAUCCUUUCCAAAAAAUGCUAUGACCUCCCAUCUAAGAAAAAUGAGGCAAAUAAACUUCUGUUGGUUUUAUCCGCAAAACUCAUUUGAAAGUUGGGAAAGAACCCUACGAGAAUAUGGCUCAGUUUUUAGAGAAAUUCAAAUAUGCCAUAUAUAGAAAAUGUCAUGGUUUCCUUCAGCCUUCCAUGUGGAUCUUGGUUUGUUACAGAGUCAAACUGGGGCCUGGAUUGCAAACCUUCCCCUCAAUAGAGAAGGUAGGUCAUGUGCCCCUCUCUGCAGAUAACAAGUUGGGGUCUGGGGAACUGGGGGAAAAGCAGAAGAGGUUUAAGGGGUGCCUGUAUUGGUUGGGUAUUCAUAACAGUGCCUCUUGUUCUUCCGUAGUCUCUGAAACAAUAUCCCCUGCCUCCACUCCCUUGAUUCAAAAGGCUGCUGGAACUUGCCCGAGAGAGGCCUUUCUGAGCCUCUAAUUCCCAUUUGUUGGGAUGCAGAGAGGAUUCCAGGUAACUGACCUUUUGGCAGCUCCCCCAUCUCACUGAAGACGGCAUGAUACAUGAUGCUUUUGGCCGCUUGGCCAGUAAGUGGCACGUGGAUAUGAUGCAAGGAGUUCAGUGGGCUGCUGCUGCCUCCAGGCCCUUAUUGCAACCCAUUUGCUAAUUAUUACAUCAAAAGCGGGCCGAUGUAGGGGAUGGGUGAGACCUACAGUCUGGGGGAGGAACAAGGAUCAGACUCCGCACGCCCCACCGCACUGCUGGGUUACCCUCUGCAUGUUUGGUCUGCAGGGGCCUUCCUGACAUCCAGGUGUAGUCAGGGAGCAAAUUGAAGGCAGCCUUCCUGGUCAGGCUGGGCCCAAGCUCGUCCUGGGCAUGUGAGUGGCUGGGAACUCUUGGGUGCAGAUGGGCUCAGGCAAUUGGCCUCAUUCUUGGGAUCAUUCCUCCCACUGUGGGGGAACCGCUGGCUACAGAAGAAAGAGGAUCCUGCAUGAUAGGAGAGGGGGCUCGCCUGCCCUCCUUGUAUUUCUUCCUUCCUAAUCCCCACUUCCACCUCAUUUCUCGAAAGCAAACGACCUGCUGAGGGUGAGGAGGGGCCAGGAGCCGGGAGGAGAGGACAUCGCAGGAGAAAGUGGCAGCUCCCCUGCCCUCAUUCCCAGGUGGCACUGGGCAGUGGUCGCGUCAACUGUGCUCUGAGCUGGGG